GAUGAACGCUGGCGGCGUGCCUAAUACAUGCAAGUCGAGCGCACAGACGAGGAGCUUGCUCCUCUGACGUUAGCGGCGGGCGGGUGAGUCACAUGUGGAUAACCUACCUAUAAGACUGGGAUAACUUCGGGAAACCGGCUCUAAUACCAGAUAAUAUAUUGUACCGCAUGGUUCACUAGUGAAAUGCGAUUUUGUUGUUACUUGUAGAUGGAUCCGCGCCGAAUUAGCUAGUUGGUAAGGUAACGGCUUACCAAGGCAACGAUGCGCAGCCGACCUGAGAGGGUGAUCGGCCACACGGGAACUGAGACACGGUCCAGACUCCUACGGGGGGAAGCAGUAGGGAAUCUUACGCAAUGGGCGAAAGCCGAACGGAGCAACGCCGCGUGAGUGAUGAAGGUCUUAGGAUCGUAAAACUCUGUUAGUAGGGAAGAACAAAUGUGUAAGUAACUAUGCACGUCUUGACGGUACCUAAUCAGAAAGCCACGGCUAACUACGUG
Molecule: ribosomal RNA, 497 nt
Filed under: uncultured bacterium
Lineage: Bacteria
Description: partial 16S ribosomal RNA
Rfam family: Bacterial small subunit ribosomal RNA
Source: RNAcentral